CGACUGUUUACCAAAAACACAGAUCGCUGCUAGUUCGUAAGGAUGUGUAUAGCGGUUGAAACCUGCCCAGUGUCGGUACCUGAAAAUCCCGUACAAGGGAAAGAAGGGCCGAUAAACGGCGGGGGUAACUAUGACCCUCUUAAGGUAGCGUAAUACCUAGCCGCUUAAUUGGCGGCUUGCAUGAAGGUUCAACGUGAGUCCCACUGUCCCCGCGUUCAGCCCCGUGAAAUUGAUGCACUGGUGCACAAUCCAGUCUCUCCCACGUGAAAGCGAAGUCCCCGUGGAGCUUUACUGCAGCCUGUAGCUGUAAUACGGUGCUUAAUGCGUAGAGUAGGAAGGAGCUGUCGAUGCCUGGGUUCUGGCUCAGGUGGAGGCGACGAUGAAACACUUCCCUUUGAGUACUGAAUUACUAACCUCGCAAGAGGGACAACUAUUGGUGGGCAGUUUGGGUGGGGCGCCACGCCCCCGAGAAUUUAACAGGGGCCCCCAAAGGUUAGCUCAGGAGGGUCAGUAAUCCUCCGUAGAGUGUAAGGGCAAAAGCUAGCUUGACUGAGUUCCGGACAAUAAGGAACGCAGAUGCGAAAGCAGGGCCUAACGAACCACCCUGUCCCCCUUUAGUGGGGGCGGGUGAUAAGAGAGAAGUUACCCCAGGGAUAACUGAGUUGUCCUCGGCAAGAGUUCAUAUCGACCCGAGGGUUUGCUACUUCGAUGUCGUCUGUUCCUAUCCUGGUGCUGAACAAGGUGCCAAGGGUGGGGCUGUUCGCCCAUUAAAAGGGAUCCUGAGAUGGGUUCACUACGUCGCGAGACAGUAGGGUUGCUUCUCCGUGGGAGUGUUCGAUGUCUGAAGGGAAGGAGCCUUUAGUACGAGAGGAACGGGGGUUCGUGACCUCUGGUUUGCCGGUUGUCUGUCAAGGCAUUUGCCGGGUAGCCACGUCAUACGCGAAUAAAAGCUGAAAGCAUCUAAGCUUGAAGUCGCCCCUGAAAAUAGACAUCGUUAUUAGGUCUCUCCUAGAAGAGGAGAUUGAUAGAACUGGGAUGUAAGUGCCGAGCUUCGGCGAGGCAUUCAGUCUACAGUUACUAAUCGACCGAAUGCACAAUC
This 1099-nucleotide ribosomal RNA is filed under the name Thermoplasmatales archaeon UBA517. Its description in RNAcentral is "bacterial LSU rRNA". It matches the Rfam family "Archaeal large subunit ribosomal RNA", at positions 1889 to 2987 of the family's 2987-position model. Lineage: Archaea; Methanobacteriati; Thermoplasmatota; Thermoplasmata; Thermoplasmatales. The record is from RNAcentral.